AUUGAACGCUGGCGGCAUGCCUUACACAUGCAAGUCGAACGGUAACAGGUCUUCGGAUGCUGACGAGUGGCGAACGGGUGAGUAAUACAUCGGAACGUGCCUAGUAGUGGGGGAUAACUACUCGAAAGAGUGGCUAAUACCGCAUGAGAUCUACGGAUGAAAGCAGGGGAUCGCAAGACCUUGUGCUACUAGAGCGGCCGAUGGCAGAUUAGGUAGUUGGUGGGAUAAAAGCUUACCAAGCCGACGAUCUGUAGCUGGUCUGAGAGGACGAUCAGCCACACUGGGACUGCGACACGGCCCAGACUCCUACGGGAGGCAGCAGUGGGGAACUUUGGACAAUGGGCGCAAGCCUGAUCCAGCAAUGCCGCGUGCAGGAUGAAGGCCUUCGGGUUGUAAACUGCUUUUGUACGGAACGAAAAGCCCUGGGUUAAUACCCUGGGGUCAUGACGGUACCGUAAGAAUAAGCACCGGCUAACUACGUGCCAGCCGCCGCAGUAA
Molecule: ribosomal RNA, 498 nt
Filed under: uncultured bacterium
Lineage: Bacteria
Description: partial 16S ribosomal RNA
Rfam family: Bacterial small subunit ribosomal RNA
Source: RNAcentral